Molecule: ribosomal RNA, 253 nt
Filed under: uncultured bacterium
Lineage: Bacteria
Description: partial 16S ribosomal RNA
Rfam family: Bacterial small subunit ribosomal RNA
Source: RNAcentral
UACGUAGGUGGCAAGCGUUGUCUGGAAUUAUUGGGCGUAAAGCGCGCGCAGGCGGUCUUUUAAGUCUGAUGUGAAAGCCCACGGCUCAACCGUGGAGGGUCAUUGGAAACUGGGGGACUUGAGUGCAGAAGAGGAGAGUGGAAUUCCACGUGUAGCGGUGAAAUGCGUAGAGAUGUGGAGGAACACCAGUGGCGAAGGCGACUCACUGGCCCGGUACUGACGCUGAGGUGCGAAAGCGUGGGGAGCAAACAGG